Molecule: ribosomal RNA, 462 nt
Filed under: uncultured bacterium
Lineage: Bacteria
Description: partial 16S ribosomal RNA
Rfam family: Bacterial small subunit ribosomal RNA
Source: RNAcentral
GACGAACGCUGGCGGCGUGCUUAACACAUGCAAGUCGAGCGGUAAGGCCUUUCGGGGUACACGAGCGGCGAACGGGUGAGUAACACGUGGGUGAUCUGCCCUGCACUUCGGGAUAAGCCUGGGAAACUGGGUCUAAUACCGGAUAUGACCUCCUAUCGCAUAGUGGGUGGUGGAAAGAUUUAUCGGUGCAGGAUGGGCCCGCGGCCUAUCAGCUUGUUGGUGGGGUAAUGGCCUACCAAGGCGACGACGGGUAGCCGACCUGAGAGGGUGACCGGCCACACUGGGACUGAGACACGGCCCAGACUCCUACGGGAGGCAGCAGUGGGGAAUAUUGCACAAUGGGCGAAAGCCUGAUGCAGCGACGCCGCGUGAGGGAUGACGGCCUUCGGGUUGUAAACCUCUUUCAGCAGGGACGAAGCGCAAGUGACGGUACCUGCAGAAGAAGCACCGGCUAACUACGUG